GUGGGGAAUAUUGGACAAUGGGCGAAAGCCUGAUCCAGCCAUGCCGCGUGUGUGAAGAAGGUCUUCGGAUUGUAAAGCACUUUAAGUUGGGAGGAAGGGUAGUAACCUAAUACGUUGCUACUUUGACGUUACCGACAGAAUAAGCACCGGCUAACUUCGUGCCAGCAGCCGCGGUAAUACGAAGGGUGCAAGCGUUAAUCGGAAUUACUGGGCGUAAAGCGCGCGUAGGUGGUUCAGUAAGUUGGAAGUGAAAUCCCCGGGCUCAACCUGGGAACUGCUUUCAAAACUGCUGAGCUAGAGUACGGUAGAGGGUGGUGGAAUUUCCUGUGUAGCGGUGAAAUGCGUAGAUAUAGGAAGGAACACCAGUGGCGUAAGCGGCUAUCUGGACGAGUAUUGACGCUGAGGCACGAAAGCGUGGGGAUCAAACAGGAUUAGAAACCCCGGUAGUCC
RNAcentral lists this ribosomal RNA (450 nucleotides) under uncultured bacterium. Its description in RNAcentral is "partial 16S ribosomal RNA". It matches the Rfam family "Bacterial small subunit ribosomal RNA", at positions 354 to 796 of the family's 1533-position model. The record is from RNAcentral.